Carlito syrichta (Philippine tarsier) is the source of this 512-nucleotide long non-coding RNA. RefSeq lists it as uncharacterized. The transcript has 4 exons. Lineage: Eukaryota; Metazoa; Chordata; Mammalia; Primates; Tarsiidae. The record is from RefSeq and is a predicted model, not a curated record.
GCAGUAACCAUGUGGAUGUGCUGCUGAGGCGUUUCCUCAGGCUCGCUGGGGUGGGAGGAGAGGAGGAGGAGGAGGUGGUGGAGGAGGAGGAGGCAGGGGGUGGAGAGAGAGAAAGCGCACGCCGAGAGGAGGUGUGGGUUUUCCGCUUCCAUUCUAACGGAACGAGCUCUCUCUUCGCGGACAUGGGAUUACCUAGCGGCUGCUAACCCCUCUCCUCGCCCUGCUCCCCCAAACCGGCGCGGCUCCCGGGCACCAAGGAGCUGACUGCAGAGAAGCAGGAUUUGCACCCCUGGCUGUGCGUGUUUUGGCAACAGAGUGCCUGACCCGGGUCAGGAUUUUCAAGAAAGACAUGUCUGACAAAAUGUCUAGUUUCCUACAUAUUGGAGACAUUUGUUCUCUGUACGCGGAGGGAUCGACAAAUGGAUUUAUUAGCACCUUGGGACUGGUUGAUGAUCGUUGUGUUGUGCAGCCAGAAACUGGGGACCUUAACAACCCACCUAAGAAAUUCAGAG